Molecule: long non-coding RNA, 753 nt
Filed under: Callithrix jacchus (white-tufted-ear marmoset)
Lineage: Eukaryota; Metazoa; Chordata; Mammalia; Primates; Cebidae
Description: lncRNA (ENSCJAG00000071307.1)
Source: RNAcentral
CCUACUUUCUUUUUUUUUUUUUUAAAGAAAGUCUUGAUGUUCUAAACAUUUAUUCAAAGAACAUUUUAAUGUGAUGAAUUUAAUUGAUAAAAGCUGAUGCCGCCCCCUCCUUGGCUGCCUCUACCACCUACUAGACCCCUGGACACAGUCUAAAACUGCAGUAUUAGGUCAUCUGAAAGCUUCUUCCUGUUCCUAAAUUCAGUGUUUUUAUAAUUGAAAGUCACUGGCUUCCUAAUCUGCUACCUGUUCAUGUUCCCUGCAGCAUCUUGCGGUAUAAAAGAGCCCCAGACAUGAUGUCAGAGGAGCUGGGAGUGAAUCCCUACAACCUAUCAUCUAUGGCACCUUAAUCAAGUUGCUUUACCUCUAUUGUCUGUCCCAUUUCUGCAUCAAAAGCCUGAAGGUUUUGUUUGCUGGUCUUUCAAGGUAAUAUUAGAGCCUGUGUUCUGCACAAAAACUAGCUCAACUCAGCUUGCAUUCUCUAAAAAAGUUAGCUUGACUCAGGUGAAUUAUUUCUUGCAUUUGUACAUGACAACCUGAUUCUUGUAACUCGGCUUACUUAUCAAGAGACUUUGAAGGAUUUCCUUUCCUAGCAUCAAGGUAGAACAAGAAGUUAGACAUACGUACUGUGCAUGAUUUUCUUAGUUUUUUUUUCCAGUCAAGAUUAAGAGUUGCACCUACCAGAAAAGAAUAUCUUGGAGUUUGAAUUGCAAGCUUUAGAGAAAUAAGACACUAGAUCUUCCUCACAAAAAUAAC